This 73-nucleotide transfer RNA is filed under the name Planctomycetota bacterium. RNAcentral describes it as "Planctomycetes bacterium (marine metagenome) tRNA-Arg". It matches the Rfam family "tRNA". Rfam says of the family: Transfer RNA (tRNA) molecules are approximately 80 nucleotides in length. Their secondary structure includes four short double-helical elements and three loops (D, anti-codon, and T loops). Lineage: Bacteria; Pseudomonadati; Planctomycetota. The record is from RNAcentral.
GCGCCUGUAGUUCAAUGGAUAGAGCAUUGGGUUUCUAACCCGAAAGUUGCAGGUUCGAGUCCUGCCAGGCGUG